RNAcentral lists this ribosomal RNA (1100 nucleotides) under Microbacterium sp. IK2_70. Its description in RNAcentral is "bacterial SSU rRNA". It matches the Rfam family "Bacterial small subunit ribosomal RNA", at positions 28 to 1140 of the family's 1533-position model. Lineage: Bacteria; Bacillati; Actinomycetota; Actinomycetes; Micrococcales; Microbacteriaceae. RNAcentral also lists the same sequence under 1 other name. The record is from RNAcentral.
GAUGAACGCUGGCGGCGUGCUUAACACAUGCAAGUCGAACGGUGAAGCCAAGCUUGCUUGGUGGAUCAGUGGCGAACGGGUGAGUAACACGUGAGCAACCUGCCCUGGACUCUGGGAUAAGCGCUGGAAACGGCGUCUAAUACUGGAUAUGAGCCUCUUCCGCAUGGUGGGGGUUGGAAAGAUUUUUUGGUCUGGGAUGGGCUCGCGGCCUAUCAGCUUGUUGGUGAGGUAAUGGCUCACCAAGGCGUCGACGGGUAGCCGGCCUGAGAGGGUGACCGGCCACACUGGGACUGAGACACGGCCCAGACUCCUACGGGAGGCAGCAGUGGGGAAUAUUGCACAAUGGGCGAAAGCCUGAUGCAGCAACGCCGCGUGAGGGAUGACGGCCUUCGGGUUGUAAACCUCUUUUAGCAGGGAAGAAGCGAAAGUGACGGUACCUGCAGAAAAAGCGCCGGCUAACUACGUGCCAGCAGCCGCGGUAAUACGUAGGGCGCAAGCGUUAUCCGGAAUUAUUGGGCGUAAAGAGCUCGUAGGCGGUUUGUCGCGUCUGCUGUGAAAUCCCGAGGCUCAACCUCGGGCCUGCAGUGGGUACGGGCAGACUAGAGUGCGGUAGGGGAGAUUGGAAUUCCUGGUGUAGCGGUGGAAUGCGCAGAUAUCAGGAGGAACACCGAUGGCGAAGGCAGAUCUCUGGGCCGUAACUGACGCUGAGGAGCGAAAGGGUGGGGAGCAAACAGGCUUAGAUACCCUGGUAGUCCACCCCGUAAACGUUGGGAACUAGUUGUGGGGACCAUUCCACGGUUUCCGUGACGCAGCUAACGCAUUAAGUUCCCCGCCUGGGGAGUACGGCCGCAAGGCUAAAACUCAAAGGAAUUGACGGGGACCCGCACAAGCGGCGGAGCAUGCGGAUUAAUUCGAUGCAACGCGAAGAACCUUACCAAGGCUUGACAUACACCAGAACGGGCCAGAAAUGGUCAACUCUUUGGACACUGGUGAACAGGUGGUGCAUGGUUGUCGUCAGCUCGUGUCGUGAGAUGUUGGGUUAAGUCCCGCAACGAGCGCAACCCUCGUUCUAUGUUGCCAGCACGUAAUGGUGGGAACUC